RNAcentral lists this ribosomal RNA (517 nucleotides) under uncultured microorganism. RNAcentral's name for it is "bacterial SSU rRNA". It matches the Rfam family "Bacterial small subunit ribosomal RNA", at positions 9 to 517 of the family's 1533-position model. The record is from RNAcentral.
GAGUUUGAUCCUGGCUCAGAUUGAACGCUGGCGGCAGGCUUAACACAUGCAAGUCGAGCGGGGGAGAUUGCUUCGGUAAUUGACCUAGCGGCGGACGGGUGAGUAAUACUUAGGAAUCUGCCUAUUAAUGGGGGACAACAUCUCGAAAGGGAUGCUAAUACCGCAUACGCCCUACGGGGAAAGGCAGGGGAUCACUUGUGACCUUGCGUUAAUAGAUGAGCCUAAGUCGGAUUAGCUAGUUGGUGGGGUAAAGGCCUACCAAGGCGACGAUCUGUAGCGGGUCUGAGAGGAUGAUCCGCCACACUGGGACUGAGACACGGCCCAGACUCCUACGGGAGGCAGCAGUGGGGAAUAUUGGACAAUGGGGGGAACCCGUGAUCCAGCCAUGCCGCGUGUGUGAAGAAGGCCUUAUGGUUGUAAAGCACUUUAAGCGAGGAGGAGGCUCCUGCAGUUAAUACCUACAGAGAGUGGACGUUACUCGCAGAAUAAGCACCGGCUAACUCUGUGCCAGCCGCCG